This 72-nucleotide transfer RNA is filed under the name Yoda sp. d ASH-2021. Its description in RNAcentral is "tRNA-Leu". It matches the Rfam family "tRNA". Rfam says of the family: Transfer RNA (tRNA) molecules are approximately 80 nucleotides in length. The record is from RNAcentral. Lineage: Eukaryota; Metazoa; Hemichordata; Enteropneusta; Torquaratoridae.
GUUAAGGUAGCAAAAUGGUCAAUGCUAGAGAUUUAGGAUCUCUCUUCGGGGGCUCAAUCCCCCCCCCUAACU